This 438-nucleotide ribosomal RNA is filed under the name Pezicula californiae. RNAcentral's name for it is "SSU rRNA". It matches the Rfam family "Bacterial small subunit ribosomal RNA", at positions 361 to 856 of the family's 1533-position model. Lineage: Eukaryota; Fungi; Ascomycota; Leotiomycetes; Helotiales; Dermateaceae. The record is from RNAcentral.
AUAUUAAAAUGUUGAUUAAUUUAUUAAUUAAUAUUGCUCAUAUUUUAUCGACUUUGUCGCAUAAAGUUCUAGAUAGAAUACUGAUUAUGACAAUUUUCUAUCUAUGUGUCUUGACCAAAUUACGUGCCAGCAGUCGCGGUAAUACGUAGAAGACUAGUGUUAUUCAUCUUUAGUAGGUUUAAAGGGUACCUAGACGGUUUAAUUAGUCCAAAAUAGGAUACGGUUUUACUAGAGUUAUAUAUAAGAAGGUGAGUAUUUGUGGAGUAGAGUUGAAAUUCUUUGAUACCACGAGGACUGGUAACGGCGAAAGCAACCUUUUAUUUAAUAACUGACGUUGAGGGACGAAGGCUCGGGUAGCGAACAGGAUUAGAUACCCUAGUAGUCCAAGCAGAAAAUUAUGAAUGCCAUAGAUUAGAUAUUUUUAGUUUAUAAAUGAAA